This is a microRNA precursor of Oryza sativa Japonica Group (Japanese rice), 202 nucleotides long. It matches the Rfam family "MIR812 microRNA precursor family". NCBI's taxonomy places the organism in Eukaryota, Viridiplantae, Streptophyta, Magnoliopsida, Poales, Poaceae. The record is from Rfam.
UAUAAGUGAUUUUGAGUUUUUGUUUGCAGUAUUUGAUCACUCGUCUUAUUCAAAAUAUUUUGGAAUUAUUAUUUAUUUUUUUGUGACUUGCUUUAUUAUCCAAAGUACUUUAAGCACAACUUUUCGUUUUUUAUAUUUGCACAAAUUUUUUGAAUAAGACGAGUGGUCAAACAGUGCAAGCAAAAACUCAAAAUCUCUUAUA